GCGGGGUUAGCUCAGCUGGGAGAGCGUCAGACUGAAGUCCACUUCAAUCAUCGAGGUAAUCGGUAUCUGAAGGCCGUGCGUUCGAUCCGCACACACCGCA
RNAcentral lists this transfer RNA (100 nucleotides) under Hypoxylon trugodes. Its description in RNAcentral is "tRNA-Phe". It matches the Rfam family "tRNA". Rfam says of the family: Transfer RNA (tRNA) molecules are approximately 80 nucleotides in length. Their secondary structure includes four short double-helical elements and three loops (D, anti-codon, and T loops). Lineage: Eukaryota; Fungi; Ascomycota; Sordariomycetes; Xylariales; Hypoxylaceae. The record is from RNAcentral.